GAUGAACGCUGGCGGCGUGCCUAAUACAUGCAAGUCGAGCGAACCGACGAGGAGCUUGCUCCUCUUACGUUAGCGGCUGACGGGUGAGUAACACGUGGAUAACCUACCUAUCAGACUGGGAUAACUUCGGGACACCGGAGCUAAUACCGGAUAAUAUAUUGAACCGCAUGGUUCAAUAGUUAAAGACGGUUUUGCUGUCACUUAUAGUUGGAUUCGCGCAGCUUUAUCUAGUUGGUAAGGUAACGGCUUACCAAGGCAACAAUGCGUAGCCGACCUGAGAGAGUGAUCGGCCACACUAACACGGAGACACGGUCCGGACCCCUACGGGAGACAGCAAUACGGAAUCAUACGCAAGGGGAGACAACCUGACAGAGCAACACCGCAGGAGUGAUGAAGGCCUGCGGACCAUAUAACUCUGUGAUGAGGGAAGAACGAAUGUGUAAGUAACUAUGCACGUCUUGACCGUACCGAGUCAGAAAGCCACGGCUAACUACGUG
Molecule: ribosomal RNA, 497 nt
Filed under: uncultured bacterium
Lineage: Bacteria
Description: partial 16S ribosomal RNA
Rfam family: Bacterial small subunit ribosomal RNA
Source: RNAcentral